AAGAAUUUUAUUUGUUUCUUAAAGUUGUUUAUUUAAUAUAUUUAGUUUGUCAGCUCGAAUAACGAUUGCCAAUCGCCAUACGGUCAAAUUAAACUCUGGACGAGUCCAUUUUCAAAUUUUCCCCCUGUGGGGCGUGGGUCCCACCUUAGGAAAUACUGCUCUAACAAUUCACUGGUACUCUACUCUCUCGUUUCUACACUUCUACCCCAUUCCUUCUCUUUCCUUCCUUGCAUCUAUGCAACUUCAUCUCUCUACUAACACCUUCCCUUCUUUUCCCGCAUCAGUCAGCCCCUUCCCCGUCUCCUGCUCUCAAUUUCUUUCCAUCUCGAAUCUCCUGCGUUCUCUCGUUUCUCGCAUUCCGCUUCAUCCUUCUUUCCAUCUUGCCUUCUUCCAUCAAACGCCUCUCGCGCGCGUCUACUUUAAAAUCACGCGCAGAUCAUCUAAUUGCUACGAAAUAAAAUAAGGAAAAGGAGCUGGAACGCUAUCGUUGCGCGACCCUCUUUUCCCCGAUCGCGGAAACGCUCGCGAGACGUUAUAUAAACGCAGAGAAUCGUCCAUCGUUUAUGCAAUCCGUGUCGCCCUCUUCGUUCCUCUUCUCUUAAUCGAGCCUUUUUUCCGCUGGCAAGCGUCACGCGACAUUUCUGCCGGCAGGAAUGCGUGCCCAGCGGCAUUCCUUAUUGACAUUACGGAGGAAUCGUCGAGGUCGUCAGGUUCGAGUACCACUCCCACAGGCUCGGAAACAGGUACGGAAGAGGCACGCGGCUCAGGACAGAACUACUAUUGGCGUUGGUUGGAGAGGAAGCCUACCUUGGCGGACGCCGUUACUCGCGGAGGCAGUACCGAGUUUAUCUGAACACGAUCGACUGAUCGACAUGGGGAAUCGGUUCGAUGCUUGUAUCGCAGGUUGUAGAAGUGGGUUAAUAGAGACCCGUCUAUGGACACGGCGAAUCACUACGUAGAAGUAAAGCAAAGGUUUCGUCGAACAGGAGAGAUGGAAUGGAUACGUCAGAAUGGGUCUAAACACUUUCGUCAAAUGUGAUGGACUUUCUACUUCAUCGGCUUUCUUAAGAACUUUCUCAUCAUACUGGCAAUAAAUAAUUGUAAAUUUAUAAUUUCUCGAUACCUAAUAAAGCGAUGGGUUAUCAGUAAUGUAGAAAUCCAAGCUACCUUAAAA
This is a long non-coding RNA of Hylaeus anthracinus, 1174 nucleotides long. RefSeq lists it as uncharacterized. NCBI's taxonomy places the organism in Eukaryota, Metazoa, Arthropoda, Insecta, Hymenoptera, Colletidae. The transcript is spliced from 2 exons. The record is from RefSeq and is a predicted model, not a curated record.